RNAcentral lists this ribosomal RNA (481 nucleotides) under uncultured bacterium. RNAcentral describes it as "partial 16S ribosomal RNA". It matches the Rfam family "Bacterial small subunit ribosomal RNA", at positions 28 to 507 of the family's 1533-position model. The record is from RNAcentral.
GAUGAACGCUGGCGGCGUGCUUAACACAUGCAAGUCGAACGAAGCAUUUAAGACAGAUUCCUUCGGUUUGAAGUCUUUUAUGACUGAGUGGCGGGCGGGUGAGUAACGCGUGGGUAACCUGCCUCAUACAGGGGGAUAGCAGCUGGAAACGGCUGGUAAUACCGCAUAAGCGCACAGUACCACAUGGUACAGUGUGAAAAACUCCGGUGGUAUGAGAUGGACCCGCGUCUGAUUAGCUUGUUGGCGGGGUAACGGCCCACCAAGGCGACGAUCAGUAGCCGACCUGAGAGGGUGACCGGCCACAUUGGGACUGAGACACGGCCCAGACUCCUACGGGAGGCAGCAGUGGGGAAUAUUGCACAAUGGAGGAAACUCUGAUGCAGCGACGCCGCGUGAGUGAAGAAGUAGUUCGCUAUGUAAAGCUCUAUCAGCAGGGAAGAUAGUGACGGUACCUGACGAAGAAGCUCCGGCUAAAUACGUG